Molecule: ribosomal RNA, 484 nt
Filed under: uncultured bacterium
Lineage: Bacteria
Description: partial 16S ribosomal RNA
Rfam family: Bacterial small subunit ribosomal RNA
Source: RNAcentral
AUUGAACGCUAGCGGGAUGCUUUACACAUGCAAGUCGAACGGCAGCGCGGACUUCGGUCUGGCGGCGAGUGGCGAACGGGUGAGUAAUGUAUCGGAACGUGCCCAGUAGCGGGGGAUAACUACGCGAAAGCGUAGCUAAUACCGCAUACGCCCUACGGGGGAAAGCAGGGGAUCGUAAGACCUUGCACUAUUGGAGCGGCCGAUAUCGGAUUAGCUAGUUGGUGAGGUAACGGCUUACCAAGGCGACGAUCCGUAGCUGGUUUGAGAGGACGACCAGCCACACUGGGACUGAGACACGGCCCAGACUCCUACGGGAGGCAGCAGUGGGGAAUUUUGGACAAUGGGGGCAACCCUGAUCCAGCCAUCCCGCGUGUGCGAUGAAGGCCUUCGGGUUGUAAAGCACUUUUGGCAGGAAAGAAACGUCGCGGGCUAAUACCCCGUGGAACUGACGGUACCUGCAGAAUAAGCACCGGCUAACUACGUG